GAACGCAGCRAAAUGCGAUACGUAGUGUGAAUUGCAGAAUUCCGCGAAUCAUCGAGUCUUUGAACGCAAGUUGCGCCCGAGGCUCGUCCGAGGGCAUUCCCGUUAGAGCGUCACCGCGCCACCCACCGCCCCGCUCCCAGCGAGCCGGAGCGAGUGGAACUGGCCGUCCCGGACCGGUCCCGAACCGGCCGGGUCGGCUGAAAUGGAUGGAAUCCGGCCCCGCGGCGACGCAGCCCGCGAUCAGGUGAUCCGCGCCGCCGUGAUUGACUUCACGGCCCGCGGUCCAACCCCAAACGCGCGCGGCUGCCGUCGCCCUGACGGUCCGCGGUCCCGUACGAAGCAGGUCUUCCCCCGCCGCCGCCCCGGCGUCGCGCGRGGGAAAAACACAUGGUCACGCAACGGACCUCUAAUCGGGAAAGAUCACCCGCUGAGUUUAARCAUAUCAAUAA
This 449-nucleotide ribosomal RNA is filed under the name Neomeesia paludella. Its description in RNAcentral is "eukaryotic LSU rRNA". The record is from RNAcentral. Lineage: Eukaryota; Viridiplantae; Streptophyta; Bryopsida; Splachnales; Meesiaceae.